GAAAGAUGGUUUCGGCUAUCGCUUACAGAUGGGCCCGCGGUGCAUUAGCUAGUUGGUAGGGUAAUGGCCUACCAAGGCAACGAUGCAUAGCCGACCUGAGAGGGUGAUCGGCCACACUGGGACUGAGACACGGCCCAGACUCCUACGGGAGGCAGCAGUAGGGAAUCUUCCGCAAUGGACGAAAGUCUGACGGAGCAACGCCGCGUGUAUGAAGAAGGUUUUCGGAUCGUAAAGUACUGUUGUUAGAGAAGAACAAGGAUAAGAGUAACUGCUUGUCCCUUGACGGUAUCUAACCAGAAAGCCACGGCUAACUACGUGCCAGCAGCCGCGGUAAUACGUAGGUGGCAAGCGUUGUCCGGA
This 360-nucleotide ribosomal RNA is filed under the name Listeria monocytogenes. Its description in RNAcentral is "bacterial SSU rRNA". It matches the Rfam family "Bacterial small subunit ribosomal RNA", at positions 202 to 549 of the family's 1533-position model. Lineage: Bacteria; Bacillati; Bacillota; Bacilli; Caryophanales; Listeriaceae. The record is from RNAcentral.